GACGAACGCUGGCGGCGUGCUUAACACAUGCAAGUCGAACGCUGAAGCCUGGAGCUUGCUCUGGGUGGAUGAGUGGCGAACGGGUGAGUAACACGUGAGUAACCUGCCCCUGACUCUGGGAUAAGCGCUGGAAACGGCGUCUAAUACUGGAUACGACCCAUAGAGGCAUCUCUUGUGGGUGGAAAGAAUUUCGGUUGGGGAUGGACUCGCGGCCUAUCAGCUUGUUGGUGAGGUAAUGGCUCACCAAGGCGACGACGGGUAGCCGGCCUGAGAGGGUGACCGGCCACACUGGGACUGAGACACGGCCCAGACUCCUACGGGAGGCAGCAGUGGGGAAUAUUGCACAAUGGGCGCAAGCCUGAUGCAGCAACGCCGCGUGAGGGAUGACGGCCUUCGGGUUGUAAACCUCUUUUAGUAGGGAAGAAGCGUAAGUGACGGUACCUGCAGAAAAAGCACCGGCUAACUACGUGCCAGCAGCCGCGGUAAUACGUAGGGUGCAAGCGUUGUCCGGAAUUAUUGGGCGUAAAGAGCUCGUAGGCGGCUUGUCGCGUCUGCUGUGAAAUCCCGGGGCUCAACUCCGGGCCUGCAGUGGGUACGGGCAGGCUAGAGUGCGGUAGGGGAGAUUGGAAUUCCUGGUGUAGCGGUGGAAUGCGCAGAUAUCAGGAGGAACACCGAUGGCGAAGGCAGAUCUCUGGGCCGCUACUGACGCUGAGGAGCGAAAGCAUGGGGAGCGAACAGGAUUAGAUACCCUGGUAGUCCAUGCCGUAAACGUUGGGAACUAGAUGUAGGGCCUGUUCCACGGGUUCUGUGUCGUAGCUAACGCAUUAAGUUCCCCGCCUGGGGAGUACGGCCGCAAGGCUAAAACUCAAAGGAAUUGACGGGGGCCCGCACAAGCGGCGGAGCAUGCGGAUUAAUUCGAUGCAACGCGAAGAACCUUACCAAGGCUUGACAUAUUCGAGAACGCCCCAGAGAUGGGGAACUCUUUGGACACUCGUUUACAGGUGGUGCAUGGUUGUCGUCAGCUCGUGUCGUGAGAUGUUCGGUUAAGUCCGGCAACGAGCGCAACCCUCGUCCUAUGUUGCCAGCGGUUCGGCCGGGAACUCAUGGGAUACUGCCGUGGUCAACACGGAGGAAGGUGGGGAUGACGUCAAAUCAUCAUGCCCCUUAUGUCUUGGGCUUCACGCAUGCUACAAUGGCCGGUACAAUGGGUUGCGAUACCGUGAGGUGGAGCGAAUCCCAAAAAGCCGGUCUCAGUUCGGAUUGGGGUCUGCAACUCGACCCCAUGAAGUCGGAGUCGCUAGUAAUCGCAGAUCAGCAACGCUGCGGUGAAUACGUUCCCGGGCCUUGUACACACCGCC
Molecule: ribosomal RNA, 1358 nt
Filed under: uncultured bacterium
Lineage: Bacteria
Description: bacterial SSU rRNA
Rfam family: Bacterial small subunit ribosomal RNA
Source: RNAcentral